This 429-nucleotide ribosomal RNA is filed under the name Bacteroidota bacterium. RNAcentral describes it as "Bacteroidetes bacterium partial 16S ribosomal RNA". It matches the Rfam family "Bacterial small subunit ribosomal RNA", at positions 355 to 776 of the family's 1533-position model. Lineage: Bacteria; Pseudomonadati; Bacteroidota. The record is from RNAcentral.
UAGGGAAUCUUCCGCAAUGGACGCAAGUCUGACGGAGCAACGCCGCGUGAGUGAAGAAGGAUUUCGGUUCGUAAAACUCUGUUGUUAGAGAAGAACAGCGCAUAGAGUAACUGUUAUGCGUGUGACGGUAUCUAACCAGAAAGCCACGGCUAACUACGUGCCAGCAGCCGCGGUAAUACGUAGGUGGCAAGCGUUGUCCGGAUUUAUUGGGCGUAAAGCGAGCGCAGGCGGUCAAUUAAGUCUGAUGUGAAAGCCCCCGGCUCAACCGGGGAGGGUCAUUGGAAACUGGUUGACUUGAGUGCAGAAGAGGAGAGUGGAAUUCCAUGUGUAGCGGUGAAAUGCGUAGAUAUAUGGAGGAACACCAGUGGCGAAGGCGACUCUCUGGUCUGUAUCUGACGCUGAGGUUCGAAAGCGUGGGUAGCAAACAGG